RNAcentral lists this transfer RNA (69 nucleotides) under Awaous gutum (tank goby). Its description in RNAcentral is "tRNA-His". It matches the Rfam family "tRNA". Rfam says of the family: Transfer RNA (tRNA) molecules are approximately 80 nucleotides in length. The record is from RNAcentral. Lineage: Eukaryota; Metazoa; Chordata; Actinopteri; Gobiiformes; Gobiidae.
GUAGGUAUAGUUUAACAAAAACUUUAGAUUGUGAUUCUAACAACAGAGGUUAAAACCCUCUUACCCACC